Molecule: ribosomal RNA, 478 nt
Filed under: uncultured bacterium
Lineage: Bacteria
Description: partial 16S ribosomal RNA
Rfam family: Bacterial small subunit ribosomal RNA
Source: RNAcentral
GAUGAACGCUGGCGGCGUGCUUAACACAUGCAAGUCGAACGGGAAAUAUUUCAUUGUGACUUCGGUGGAUUUGAGUUAUUUCUAGUGGCGGACGGUGGAUUAACUCGUGGGUAACCUGCCUUAUACAGGGGGAUAACAGUCAGAAAUGGCUGCUAAUACCGCAUAAGCGCACAGAGCUGCAUGGCUCAGUGUGAAAAACUCCUGUGGUAUAAGAUGGACCCGCGUUGGAUGAGAUAGAUGGAGGGGUAACGGACCACCAAGGCGACGAGCCAUAGCCGGGCUGUGAGGCUGGACCGCCACAUUGGCGCUAAGCCACAGCACGGACUCCUCCGGGAGGCAGGAGUGGCUAAUAUUGCAACACGGCGUAAGCCAUGAUGCUGCGCCGCCCCGUGAACGCAGAAGUAUGUCGGUAUGUAAACUUCUAUCAGCAGGGCAGAUAGUGACGGUACCUGAUUAAGAAGCCCCGGCUAACUACGUG